UGCUGUUCAACCAAUGAAAGCGUCCUUGUGUUUAAAUAGCCCUCGCCAUUAGCUCUCUCUCCCCCUCAGUUGCUUUUACUUGCAAUCGCCAUAUUGGUCUCUCGGAUGACUUGGUGUUUUUUUCGAUAGGAAUUACUACGAGACAGGAGUGUAGACGGGAGUGACUUCUUCAGACCUACAUACUUUCAUGCAAUCACUUGUUCCUUAUAUGCCACAUUGACUGCGUUGCUCUUUUUUGCGCUUUUUUCUCUAUUUUGGCAUGCCUGCUUUCAUGCGUGCUCGUCGUCUAAUCGUUUUUUAUUACGGGAAUAAUUACGUGUUUGUGAUUUGAGCUGUAAUCUCGACAGAAGCUACUUGUUUGUUUUUGCACCGAGUUUCAUGUGGCAAAAUGUCGGACGUGCGUCUUUCUAAUGGAAGUCCGCCACUGGAGCGCGUGGACGCGAGACCGGAGGCUCCCAGCAAGCCGUCGGUGUGCAGGAACCUGUUCGGGUCGCCGGACCCGGGGGAAGUAAGACGAGCGUAUCUGGACGAGCUACGGGACUCGGAAGUAGCGUUCAGGGAGAAAUAUAACUACGACUUUGUGAAGGACACGCCGCUUGAGCCCGGUAGAUACGAGUGGGAGGCUGUGGACGCAAGAGACGCGCCCGAGGUUUACAGCAGGCCGCCGCGUAAAACCGCACCAGUGGAUCUUAACGGGACUCAGACGGACUGCCAAAAAACUCCAAGCGCCGCGAAGAAAAGACCUUCCCUGGAGGACCCGGGUAAAUCCAGCGGGAUACUCAGAUUCUGCACGGCAAAGUAAAAGAGUGACCCAUGGAGAGGAAGGCAGCAGCAGUCAAGAAAGAGCAGAGCAGACACCCACAAAAUCAGAACCCAGCACGUAAAACGACUUGCAUGCAAAGGGAGAUGAAGAAUGUGUGUUUCUCCAUCAAAGAGCUUUAUGAAGUAAACAGGGACAGCUAUUCGAAAAAUAGCAUUUCCUUCUCUAAGGAUGUGCAAGACAGUAGAAGCACUGAUUUUUUUUUUCUUUUUCUUUUUACACUAAAGUUUUGGCACUCAAAAGACAUUUGCCUCAAAAAGCAGACAAUGUAGCAGUGUGCAAAUGGUUUUCCUUUUUGCUUUUGUCUUUACUACCUAUGUAAAUAAUUAUAUGUAGCAUAUUAAAAUAUAACAUUAUGAUGAGAAAAAUCAUAUAGUGUGAAUGACUUGAAGAAUUGCUGUGCAGUUUUCAAAACAACCCCAACAAACCUCCCAGAUUAAAGUGAAAAAAAAAAAAAUUAGGAUCUAGGAAGUUAAAUAAGGUAUCAGUAUCAUCAGGGUAUAAAACAAGUUGGAUCAAUUUAAAAAUCAUUAAAAUAACUCGAGUUCCCCAUAAAUGAGAAAAAAAAAGUUAAUGGUUGCAAGGGAACUUAUGUACAACUAUAUGAGACACCAGUACUUAAAUGUGGGAUUUUUUAAAAAUAUAAAUAAAAUACCUAUUGUUGGUGGUGAUACCAUAGAAGAGUGUAUGGUACUUAAUUAUGUGAAGUUUAUUUAAAAUCUGCCAAAGUCACAACACAUUCAGGCAGGGAUAUUCCUUUUUUAAGGGUGUGGUUUUAUGGUUUUGACAGUGUUUCACAGUAUUAUUAUAUCCCUGGGAUAUUCCACUAGUUUUCCCCUUAGAUUAUGUUUUGUAAGUUGCUUAUGAAUGACAACCUACUGAGUAAAUAAUGAUUUUAAAAAGAAACUGAAAUUAACAGCAAAUUUUCUUCAGUCACCUUUUUCUUGCAUUGCAAUUUUUUUGAUAAUUUUUUUAAACACUGGUCCAUUUUUUUUUAAAUAGUCCACAAAUCUUGUCUUUUGCAUUCACACACGGUAUUCAUGUUGAACAUGAUGUUCCACUAUCCCCACAAAAAUAAACAUAAAACAAAAACUAGACGUUACACUGCAUGUGUAAAAUUCUGAAGUGUACCUGUGUAUAUUGCUUGUAAAAACACUGAGGACAUUAUACUAACUUAUUUAUGUUAAGCUUUUUUUGUGGUUUAAGAAUAUCCAAAGUGGCAUUUGUGUUUGUUUUUUUUUUUGUUUUUUUUUUAGUUUUUUUUUAAACUACUUUUUUUAACUGAAAUGUUUAUUUUCAAAUUUUGAAAAGAAAUUGUUCAAGGUUGCAAACUGAGCCUAUAUUAAAUUUUGAUGUGGAUUUUGUAUUGCUCAUUUAAAGAGAUGAUUAAUAAAAAAAAUGACAAACACUCAA
Molecule: RNA transcript, 2233 nt
Organism: Tachysurus fulvidraco (yellow catfish)
Lineage: Eukaryota; Metazoa; Chordata; Actinopteri; Siluriformes; Bagridae
Gene: cdkn1ba
Gene name: cyclin-dependent kinase inhibitor 1Ba
Exons: 3
Source: RefSeq, a predicted model, not a curated record